Molecule: transfer RNA, 77 nt
Filed under: Opitutia bacterium AMD-G1
Lineage: Bacteria; Pseudomonadati; Verrucomicrobiota; Opitutia
Also listed under: 1 other name
Description: Opitutae bacterium AMD-G1 tRNA-Pro
Rfam family: tRNA
About the family: Transfer RNA (tRNA) molecules are approximately 80 nucleotides in length. Their secondary structure includes four short double-helical elements and three loops (D, anti-codon, and T loops). Further hydrogen bonds mediate the characteristic L-shaped molecular structure. tRNAs have two regions of fundamental functional importance: the anti-codon, which is responsible for specific mRNA codon recognition, and the 3' end, to which the tRNAs corresponding amino acid is attached (by aminoacyl-tRNA synthetases). tRNAs cope with the degeneracy of the genetic code in two manners: having more than one tRNA (with a specific anti-codon) for a particular amino acid; and 'wobble' base-pairing, i.e. permitting non-standard base-pairing at the 3rd anti-codon position.
Source: RNAcentral
CGGGCAGUGGCUCAACCUGGUAGAGCGCUGCUUUCGGGUAGCAGAGGCUGAGAGUUCAAAUCUCUCCUGCCCGACCA